GACGGAGGAUGCAAGCGUUAUCCGGAAUUAUUGGGCGUAAAGCGUCCGUAGGCGGUUUCAAAAGUCUGUUGUUAAAGCCCACAGCUCAACUGUGGAUCGGCGAUGGAAACUGUGAGACUAGAGAGUGGUAGGGGUAGAGGGAAUUCCUAGUGUAGCGGUGAAAUGCGUAGAUAUUAGGAAGAACACCAGUGGCGAAGGCGCUCUACUGGGCCAUUACUGACGCUGAUGGACGAAAGCUAGGGGAGCGAAAGGG
This 253-nucleotide ribosomal RNA is filed under the name uncultured bacterium. Its description in RNAcentral is "partial 16S ribosomal RNA". It matches the Rfam family "Bacterial small subunit ribosomal RNA", at positions 524 to 776 of the family's 1533-position model. The record is from RNAcentral.